This 68-nucleotide transfer RNA is filed under the name Petrosaltator rozeti (North African sengi). RNAcentral's name for it is "tRNA-Tyr". It matches the Rfam family "tRNA". Rfam says of the family: Transfer RNA (tRNA) molecules are approximately 80 nucleotides in length. Their secondary structure includes four short double-helical elements and three loops (D, anti-codon, and T loops). Lineage: Eukaryota; Metazoa; Chordata; Mammalia; Macroscelidea; Macroscelididae. The record is from RNAcentral.
GGUAAAAUGGCCGAGCAAGGCAUUAGACUGUAAAUCUAAGCACGAGGAUAGGUAGUCCUCUUUUACCA